RNAcentral lists this unclassified non-coding RNA (358 nucleotides) under Hevea brasiliensis (rubber tree). Lineage: Eukaryota; Viridiplantae; Streptophyta; Magnoliopsida; Malpighiales; Euphorbiaceae. The record is from RNAcentral.
CAUGUCAGAUCCCUCAAUCUGAGGCUUCCUCCUAAAGUCAAUGUAUGAAGGCUAUUAAAGUAUGUCUUCCUUGAGAUCAUUGAGUUGCCCAGACCUCCACCUGCAUCAUGUGCUUCUAUCUCUUCCAUUACAACAUUAACACCCAACUCUUCUGAAUUUCUUCCACCAAUUAUAACCAUAUCUUCUAGAUUCUUCAUAUUUGCCAACCACCAAAUGUUGAGAGAUUGUUUACUUGGAAACAAAUUAAGCCAUAGAGCUCGAGUACAGUUGACUAAUGUGUGGGUGUUGACAUAACUCUGGAGAUCUGAGACACUUCUUAUUGUACUGCUCAAUUCAUUCAAGUGUUCCAAACAUUGUA